This 378-nucleotide unclassified non-coding RNA is filed under the name plant metagenome. RNAcentral describes it as "partial contains 5.8S ribosomal RNA, internal transcribed spacer 2, and large subunit ribosomal RNA". The stretch from base 1 to 105 matches the Rfam family "5.8S ribosomal RNA", at positions 50 to 154 of the family's 154-position model. The record is from RNAcentral.
GAAAUGCGAUAAGUAAUGUGAAUUGCAGAAUUCAGUGAAUCAUCGAAUCUUUGAACGCACCUUGCGCUCCUUGGUAUUCCUUGGAGCAUGCCUGUUUAAGUAUCAUGAAAUCUUCAAAGUAAAUCUUUUGUUAACUCAAUUGGUUUCUACUUUGGUAUUGGAGGUCUUUGCAGCUUCACACCUGCUCCUCUUUGUUCAUUAGCUGGAUCUCAGUGUUAUGCUUGGUUCCACUCGGCGUGAUAAGUUAUCUAUCGCUGAGGACACUGUAAAAGGUGGCCAAGGUAAAUGCAGAUGAACCGCUUCUAAUAGUCCAUUGACUUGGACAAUACUUUUAUGAUCUGAUCUCAAAUCAGGUAGGACUACCCGCUGAACUUAAGC